CAGUCGUACCUUCGGGUAAUCAGCCUUUCGGGUGCGGUUCUGUGGAGUUUGAGGAGCUUAACACCUUCAUGCUUUUGCAUAUUCGUGCUCUUGGGUGUACUUGCCCGUGUGGUUGGUUAACAUCAAUUUCGGGCACCAUAAAAUGGCUGGAGGAAUGUAGCUUCGAUCUCGUAUUGAAGUGUUAUAGCCUUCGGUAGAUGUGAUGAUCGAGAUUGAGGAUUGCAACGGAUACCCUUCGGGGCUACCUGUCUGAUCUCUGACGUUGCUCUGGUGUCGAAGCUUGCUUACGGUUAUACAAAGUCG
Molecule: ribosomal RNA, 303 nt
Filed under: Rhizophagus irregularis
Lineage: Eukaryota; Fungi; Glomeromycota; Glomeromycetes; Glomerales; Glomeraceae
Source: RNAcentral